Molecule: ribosomal RNA, 496 nt
Filed under: uncultured bacterium
Lineage: Bacteria
Description: partial 16S ribosomal RNA
Rfam family: Bacterial small subunit ribosomal RNA
Source: RNAcentral
AUGAACGCUGGCGGCGUGCCUAAUACAUGCCAGUCGAGCGAACAGAUGAGGAGCUUGCUCCUCUGACGUUAGCGGCGGACGGGUGAGUAACACGUGGAUAACCUACCUAUAAGACUGGGAUAACUUCGGGAAACCGGAGCUAAUACCGGAUAAUAUAUUGAACCGCAUGGUUCAAUAGUGAAAGACGGUUUUGCUGUCACUUAUAGAUGGAUCCGCGCCGCAUUAGCUAGUUGGUAAGGUAACGGCUUACCAAGGCGACGAUGCGUAGCCGACCUGAGAGGGUGAUCGGCCACACUGGAACUGAGACACGGUCCAGACUCCUACGGGAGGCAGCAGUAGGGAAUCUUCCGCAAUGGGCGAAAGCUUGACGGAGCAACGCCGCGUGAGUGAUGAAGGUCUUCGGAUCGUAAAACUCUGUUAUUAGGGAAGAACAAAUGUGUAAGUAACUAUGCACGUCUUGACGGUACCUAAUCAGAAAGCCACGGCUAACUACGUG